Molecule: long non-coding RNA, 877 nt
Filed under: Ananas comosus (pineapple)
Lineage: Eukaryota; Viridiplantae; Streptophyta; Magnoliopsida; Poales; Bromeliaceae
Description: long non-coding RNA (ACOM_LNC033882)
Source: RNAcentral
AUCAAGUUCAUCUUAAGAGUUGAAAAAUGAACGGUCAUAAAUGAAUAACCUUCUUAAAAUAGAGGUUAAACUUUCUCAGUUCGUAAUCAGAGUUAUCAAACAUUAUCUAAAUAGUAUAAAGAAUUUUCUAUUAAAAAUUCAAGCAAUUUGGAUUGCUCUACACCGUUAAACAAGCAAACGGCUCAUAUAGGCCAUAAAAAAUUGUCGAUUUUACGACACUUUGAUCACCAUGUAAACCAUUAUCAAAAUUUAUGAAAUUUAGUUUCUAGAUAUUUCAAAUACUCUAGAUCAACUUCAACGGCUCCGAUCAUCGAUUCGGAAUCUCGAUCAUCAAGAACAACUUGAUAGGACAAGUGCUCCUAUCCUAUUAAUAGGAUAGUAGCAUUAGCCUAUAUAUAUAUAUAUAUAUAUAUAUAUAUAUAGAGUUGGGCUGGAAUGCUAUUGAUAGCACCCAGCCAAUUUUGCCACCCAUUUUAUAGCCCUCGGAUUGCAUCGAGAUCCGUGCAACCCUUUAAGUGAAAAGUUUCGGUGGGUUUCUCUGUUAACCCUCCGUUAUCUCUCUCUCUCACACUCUCUCACUCACUCACUCUCUCUCUCUUCUUUUCUUUUUUCUUUUCCUUUCUUCUCCACAGAUCUCAUCUCCUUUUCCUUUCUUCUCCACAGAUCUCCUCCCACCAGAGCCUUCUCCACACCCCGCCCACCUCCCACCUCGCCCGCUCGCCCCCUCGCCAUUUCAUUUCUUUUUCCUUUUUCUUUCUUCUCCUCCGCAAAACCCACCGAAUCCCUCUCCCGUCUCGCUCGUGCGCCGGCUCGCUCGCGCCCCAACUCACUCGGCCGCCCGCUCGCUUGCUCAAAACUUGAUUCUUUCUCAGGUUUG